Molecule: long non-coding RNA, 367 nt
Organism: Spinacia oleracea (spinach)
Lineage: Eukaryota; Viridiplantae; Streptophyta; Magnoliopsida; Caryophyllales; Amaranthaceae
Exons: 4
Source: RefSeq, a predicted model, not a curated record
AUUGGAAGUUUGGAGUUUCAGAAAGAUAUCAAGCCUUGAAGGAAACUACCAGUUGGGAUCUUCAAGUGGAACAAAAAUUUACAGGAACUUGAAUAUUGCAGAAGUCGGGUAUUUCAAAAAGGCGGGAACUUAUUCCUGAAGUUACACAAUUUCAAAUACCACAGUCAGAAAGCAAAAAUGGAGAUAAUGAGCAAAAAUAGCAAAAGCAUAAAAGAACUCCAACAAAUUUAUUUGGAACAAGAAGAUAACCAGAUUAAAGGAAAAAGAAUAAGAGUCAUCAACGACAUGGCAAAGGAAUAGGCUCGUGGGUCUGGAUGCAGGACAUCAACACCACAAGGAUAAAAUAUUUUUGUUUCUUAUAUAUUAG